This 253-nucleotide ribosomal RNA is filed under the name uncultured bacterium. RNAcentral describes it as "partial 16S ribosomal RNA". It matches the Rfam family "Bacterial small subunit ribosomal RNA", at positions 524 to 776 of the family's 1533-position model. The record is from RNAcentral.
UACGGAGGAUCCAAGCGUUAUCCGGAUUUAUUGGGUUUAAAGGGUGCGUAGGCGGUUUUAUAAGUUAGAGGUGAAGAUUCGGGGCUCAACUCCGGACGUGCCUCUAAUACUGUAUGACUAGAGAAUAGAUGCGGUAGGCGGAAUGUAUGGUGUAGCGGUGAAAUGCGUAGAGAUCAUACAGAACACCGAUUGCGAAGGCAGCUUACCAAACUAUAUCUGACGUUGAGGCACGAAAGCGUGGGGAGCAAACAGG